This 253-nucleotide ribosomal RNA is filed under the name uncultured bacterium. RNAcentral describes it as "partial 16S ribosomal RNA". It matches the Rfam family "Bacterial small subunit ribosomal RNA", at positions 524 to 776 of the family's 1533-position model. The record is from RNAcentral.
UACGUAGGGUGCAAGCGUUGUCCGGAAUUAUUGGGCGUAAAGAGCUCGUAGGCGGUUUGUCGCGUCUGCUGUGAAAACUCGGGGCUUAACUCCGGGCCUGCAGUGGGUACGGGCAGACUAGAGUGCGGUAGGGGAGACUGGAAUUCCUGGUGUAGCGGUGAAAUGCGCAGAUAUCAGGAGGAACACCGGUGGCGAAGGCGGCAUCCUGGACCGACAUUGACGCUGAGGCGCGAAAGCCAGGGGAGCAAACGGG